This 1344-nucleotide long non-coding RNA is filed under the name Felis catus (domestic cat). RNAcentral describes it as "lncRNA (ENSFCAG00000051866.1)". Lineage: Eukaryota; Metazoa; Chordata; Mammalia; Carnivora; Felidae. The record is from RNAcentral.
AUGUCAACCUGUGACACACACACCCAGGCUCAGGGAGGGGACCCCGGCAGUGUUCUCCGGGCCAGAGAAAAAAGAAAGGGAGAAGGCACCUUGCCACUCCAGUUGUGUCCUUCUUGGGUUCUCCAGGUUCCCCAGGACCCAGACACACCCUGGGCUCUCCAGGUGUGUAGACAUCCACCUGAUGUCUACUGCCUCAGAAUGGUCCUGCCAGCCCAGGAGACGCGGCCACGCAGAACUCCUCCCAGGAUGGCUCUGCAGGGGCCUCCCCACCUCUACCAGGCAUUACGGCCCCUCCCUUCUGAGCCCCCCACCCAGGCCCACUCCAAGCAGUCACCCAGUCCCCAGAGCACGCACCCCUCUCCCAGCCAGGGGCCUACCACACCCACUCGGGGGGCACAGAGACCCGAUGCCCACACACAACACACAGGGCCAGCUCCUCCAGAGCGGCACUGGGUGGAAGGUCACCAGCAAACCUGUGUGCCUCCCCCAAUCCCAGACCUGUCCUCAGAUCCCAACCCACAGCCCUCCUGGAGCCCCCGCAGACUGAGACUACUCCCAUCCCCCACAACUGCUGCAGCCCUCACCCCUCCCAGGGAGCAUCUGCUACCUGGAAGCAAGAUGGCGAUUAAGGUGGGAGAAGCCGGUGGUGAGCAUAGCCCCACCCAUCCCUGCAUCACCCCGUUACCGCCACAGGCUGGCCCACUGUCCCCAAGUUAUUCCUUGGGCCAUGUUGCUCUCCGGAGUUCUGCUUUUGUGAGUUUCCAUGCCCAACCCCUCCCAGGUCCCAUAAACACUGCCCCAACUGCCCACCCCUUCCAGACCCUCCAGAGCAAGCCCACAGAAGUCACUCAAGUUCACCUGCAGCUCAGCAUGCUCUCAUCUUUGUUUCCUGACCAGGGGUUAGAAGUACUGACUGGGAGGAGUCAGCACCAUCCCCUUCCUCCUAGGACCAUGAAAGCACCCCAUGCCCAUGACCCACUCCCAGAACGUUCCAAGGGCCCACCUUCCAGACCCUCUCUCUCUCUCCUCUCUCUCUCUCUCUCUCUCCCUCUCUCUCUCUCUCUCUCUCUCACACACACACACACACACACACACACACACACACACACACAGCAGUGGACCUGGUACUCAAAGGCAUGGGUACUGAACCGAGGCCCUAGCACAAAGGCACAGAUGGGAAUGAGCUACCUGGGACACACCUGCACACAUGUUAUGUGCACUGUGUAUAGUAUUUGUGUAAACCCUAUUCUUGGACAUUUAUCUCCCACCUGUGGCUCCUUCAUUGGGCAACUAAGGUGGAACUUGGGACUUGCAAACCAAUGGGGUUGUGGGGUCCUGAGUUGA